GCGCGCCCGAGUUCCGCUUCCCCGCGCGCCGAGCCCCACCUGCGCCCGCGCUCUCUCGCUUCCCUCGGGUCGAUUCAAAUCUGGACAAACUCACCGGCUCAGUGCCGGAGUCCUUGAAGCCUGAAAAGGCCUCGUGCGAAUGCCGUGUCCUGGAAGCUUAAAGUCCAACCACAGUUUUAGAGCAGACCCACCUUACAAGACUAAUGGAAAGAAGGAAGUGAAACUGGAGGAGAUAAGCUAUUCCUUGCACUUCAGCCAUGCCCCAACUGCAACCACAGAGGAAUGGGGGAGACAAACAAAAAUGCAGCUUUCGUGGUGAGCCUGGAAAUCAGCAUCAGGGUGAAGGAGACAGAUGCUGAGGAUACUCAACACCUACCAUAGCAGACAUCCAGAGGCUCCUAAGAGGUCAUCCUUGAAGUAGACUUAAAACACAGUAGUGGUAGGAGGAUCGCUGUGAGUUUGAGGCCAGUGCUAGAGUGAAACCCAACAUCAAAAAUAAAAAAAUAAAAUAAAAUAAAAAAACACCCAACAUGGCUCAGGGAAUUCUGCAGAAGAGGAGGAAGAAAGAUUGUAUGAGCCACAAAUAGGGCCGUCAUGCCAAGAGGCAUUGCCUUCUCCCAACCACUGACAGCUGCUCCCACAAUGCAUAGCCCACAGCCCCAAGGGGAAUACCUGCAUCCUCACUGAGGAGGACCCCCAGCUGAAAGAGGGCAGGGACAAGGGAAAGGAUGGGACCAACUCAUUAUGUAGCCAUACUAAGUAUGUCUGUAAUUAACUACAUUUUUUAAAAAUUGGGACUAUAUUUAAUUUCUGAGGGCUACUUAUGUUUAGAAGUUAACAACAAUAAAAAUAAGGAACCUAGGACAGAACAAGAUGUUUAUGAACAAUAUUACUAAUGCUCUUAAAAGUAAUUUGAGAAGUUCUAAUCAAUGUUAUAAAGAUGAAAUUUCUCAACUUGAUCAAUAGAUUCUACAAUCCCAGUCAAAAUCCCAAUACAGACUUUUCCUAAUACUUGAUAAACUGAUUCUGAAAUGUAGGUAUCAAGGAUCCAAAAUAACCAAGACUUUAUGAACAAAUGCAAACAACUUCUGAUGAGGUCUCCAAUUAAGAGUAUACGGCAGGGCUGGCAAGGUAGUACAGUAAGAAGAAUGCUCACCUAGCAUGCAGGAGGCCCUGGCUUCUAGCCCCUGCACCACACGAAGCAGGUUGAGGCUGGAGAGAUGACCCAGCAGUUAAGGCAUUUGCAUACAAAGCCUAACAACCCAGGUUUGAUUCCCC
This is a long non-coding RNA of Jaculus jaculus (lesser Egyptian jerboa), 1278 nucleotides long. RefSeq lists it as uncharacterized. The record is from RefSeq and is a predicted model, not a curated record. NCBI's taxonomy places the organism in Eukaryota, Metazoa, Chordata, Mammalia, Rodentia, Dipodidae. The transcript has 3 exons.